This 285-nucleotide non-coding RNA is filed under the name Drosophila sechellia. RNAcentral's name for it is "Eukaryotic small subunit ribosomal RNA". It matches the Rfam family "Eukaryotic small subunit ribosomal RNA", at positions 1 to 282 of the family's 1831-position model. Lineage: Eukaryota; Metazoa; Arthropoda; Insecta; Diptera; Drosophilidae. The record is from Rfam by way of RNAcentral.
AUUCUGGUUGAUCCUGCCAGUAGUUAUAUGCUUGUCUCAAAGAUUAAGCCAUGCAUGUCUAAGUACACACGAAUUAAAAGUGAAACCGCAAAAGGCUCAUUAUAUCAGUUAUGGUUCCUUAGAUCGUUAACAGUUACUUGGAUAACUGUGGUAAUUCUAGAGCUAAUACAUGCAAUUAAAACAUGAACCUUAUGGGACAUGUGCUUUUAUUAGGCUAAAACCAAGCGAUCGCAAGAUCGUUAUAUUGGUUGAACUCUAGAUAACAUGCAGAUCGUAUGGUCUUGU